Molecule: ribosomal RNA, 253 nt
Filed under: uncultured bacterium
Lineage: Bacteria
Description: partial 16S ribosomal RNA
Rfam family: Bacterial small subunit ribosomal RNA
Source: RNAcentral
UACGUAGGCAGCAAGCGUUGUUCGGAAUUACUGGGCGUAAAGAGUGUGUAGGCGGUGCUCUAAGUUUGGUGUGAAAUCUCCCGGCUCAACUGGGAGGGUGCGCCGAAAACUGGAAUGCUUGAACAUGGGAGAGGAAAGCGGAAUUCCUGGUGUAGCGGUGAAAUGCGUAGAUAUCAGGAGGAACACCUGCGGUGUAGACGGCUUUCUGGACCACUGUUGACGCUGAGACACGAAAGCGUGGGUAGCAAACAGG